This 466-nucleotide long non-coding RNA is filed under the name Rattus norvegicus (Norway rat). RNAcentral describes it as "long non-coding RNA NONRATT020468". The record is from RNAcentral. Lineage: Eukaryota; Metazoa; Chordata; Mammalia; Rodentia; Muridae.
AGGUCAUGUGAAACCGUUGGACAGGUGUUGCCACACUUCCCUCCCCGCUAAUGAAUCUGGCUGUGCUGUGAGGAUUGAGCUGGAGACCUCAAAUCAAUGUUUGCAGCAGACAGCAAUGUCAGGAAGGUGUGAAUCUGCCACACAGCAAGAUGGUCUUAGCAAGGAGUCCGUUCAAGAUACAAGGCCUCAGCCCUCAGCUCCCAGCUCCAGUUGCCAUGCCUGCCUGCUGCCACACUUCCUUGCUGUGAUAGUGAUGGACUCCUAUCUCCCUGGAACUAAUCACCGAUGGGGAUAAGGAUUCCUCAAAGCUGCUUUGGAAGAGAGGAGAAUUGUGCUGGGAAGGGAGAGAACAAAGAGAAGGGCUGCUACAUACCUGCCUCCUAGAAAAAACGAUCCAGGGGCCUCUUCUACCAGAGUAGCUAUGAUUUAGUAAAGGUGCCUCGAAGGAGUGUAUCCCAGGCUCUGC